RNAcentral lists this ribosomal RNA (253 nucleotides) under uncultured bacterium. RNAcentral describes it as "partial 16S ribosomal RNA". It matches the Rfam family "Bacterial small subunit ribosomal RNA", at positions 524 to 776 of the family's 1533-position model. The record is from RNAcentral.
UACGGGGGGAGCAAGCGUUGUUCGGAUUUACUGGGCGUAAAGGGCGCGUAGGCGGUCAGCACAAGUCAGUUGUGAAAUCUCCGGGCUUAACUCGGAAAGGUCAACUGAUACUGUGCGACUAGAGUGCAGAAGGGGCAACUGGAAUUCUGGUGUAGCGGUGAAAUGCGCAGAUAUCAGGAGGAACACCGGUGGCGAAGGCGGGUCUCUGGGCCGUAACUGACGCUGAGGAGCGAAAGCAUGGGGAGCGAACAGG